UGGGGAAUAUUGGACAAUGGGCGCAAGCCUGAUCCAGCCAUGCCGCGUGUGUGAAGAAGGCCUUUUGGUUGUAAAGCACUUUAAGCGAGGAGGAGGCUACUUGGAUUAAUACUCUAAGAUAGUGGACGUUACUCGCAGAAUAAGCACCGGCUAACUCUGUGCCAGCAGCCGCGGUAAUACAGAGGGUGCGAGCGUUAAUCGGCUUUACUGGGCGUAAAGCGUGCGUAGGCGGCUUCUUAAGUCGGAUGUGAAAUCCCUGAGCUUAACUUAGGAAUUGCAUUCGAUACUGGGAAGCUAGAGUAUGGGAGAGGAUGGUAGAAUUCCAGGUGUAGCGGUGAAAUGCGUAGAGAUCUGGAGGAAUACCGAUGGCGAAGGCAGCCAUCUGGCCUAAUACUGACGCUGAGGUACGAAAGCAUGGGGAGCAAACAGG
This 430-nucleotide ribosomal RNA is filed under the name Acidobacteriota bacterium. RNAcentral describes it as "Acidobacteria bacterium partial 16S ribosomal RNA". It matches the Rfam family "Bacterial small subunit ribosomal RNA", at positions 355 to 776 of the family's 1533-position model. The record is from RNAcentral. Lineage: Bacteria; Pseudomonadati; Acidobacteriota.